This 549-nucleotide ribosomal RNA is filed under the name Pasiropsis marginata. RNAcentral's name for it is "partial 16S ribosomal RNA". It matches the Rfam family "Bacterial large subunit ribosomal RNA", at positions 1797 to 2613 of the family's 2925-position model. Lineage: Eukaryota; Metazoa; Arthropoda; Insecta; Hemiptera; Reduviidae. The record is from RNAcentral.
CGCCUGUUUAUCAAAAACAUGUCCUUUAGUGUAUUUUUGUAAGGUCUAACCUGCCCAAUGAUUAAAAAAUGUUGAAUGGCCGCGGUAUUUUAACCGUGCUAAGGUAGCAUAAUCAUUUGUCUUUUAAUUGAGGGCUAGAAUGAAUGGUUGGACGAGCCCUCAACUUUCUUUUAUUUAAUUGAAGGAAUUUAAUUUUUUAGUUAAAAAGCUAAAAUGUCUUUAUAGGACGAGAAGACCCUAUAGAUCUUUAUUAUUAUAUUAAUUUGGUAGUUUAGUUUAUAAUAUAUUUUAAUUAUUGUAAUAAUUUAAUUGGGGCGGUUGUAGAAUUUUUUUAACUUUUAUUUAUAUUUUCAUUUAUUUAUGUUUAAUUGAUCCAUUAAUAAUGAUUAUAAGAUUAAGUUACCUUAGGGAUAACAGCGUAAUUUUCUCGGAGAGUUCUUAUCGAUGAGGGAGUUUGCGACCUCGAUGUUGGAUUAAAAUAAGUUUUAGGCGUAGUAGUUUAAAGUCUUGGUCUGUUCGACCUUUAAAUUUUUACAUGAUCUGAGUUCA